GUGCCCUUGCUCUGGGGGCUCUCGUAAUCGAUUCGCCUGCGUUUGUGGUCUAACCGCUGCUCAUUCGCUGAGUGAGAGCGAUGACGUCUUCUGGUUCUCGGCAUCUGGAAAAUCAAAAAUUUUCGUGGGUUAUUUUUUAAUUUGUGGAACUUGUCAAGAUGAUUGCCAGUUUCUUUCUACGUUUUUGGAGGAAAAAAGACGGGAAAUCAUUCAGGUGGAGUUUAAUGAAACUAGCGAAGGAUGGAGGGAAAAGUGUUUCUCUCUUUCUCUCCUGGUUGAGGGUUGAGUCGUUUACUUACGUUGGGCAGACGAAAUAUGCUUGCUUGAUCCCAAAUGUAAUUGACGAUCGAUGACAACCAAGAGCGUG
Molecule: long non-coding RNA, 367 nt
Organism: Diachasmimorpha longicaudata
Lineage: Eukaryota; Metazoa; Arthropoda; Insecta; Hymenoptera; Braconidae
Exons: 3
Source: RefSeq, a predicted model, not a curated record